UCCAGACUCCUACGGGAGGCAGCAGUGGGGAAUAUUGCACAAUGGGGGAAACCCUGAUGCAGCGACGCCGCGUGAGUGAAGAAGUAUCUCGGUACGUAAAGCUCUAUCAGCAGGGAAGAAAAUGACGGUACCUGACUAAGAAGCCCCGGCUAACUACGUGCCAGCAGCCGCGGUAAUACGUAGGGGGCAAGCGUUAUCCGGAUUUAUUGGGUGUAAAGGGUGCGUAGACGGGAAAUUAAGUUAGUUGUGAAAUCCCUCGGCUCAACUGAGGAACUGCAACUAAAACUGAUUUUCUUGAGUGCAGGAGAGGUAAGUGGAAUUCCUAGUGUAGCGGUGAAAUGCGUAGAUAUUAGGAGGAACACCAGUGGCGAAGGCGACUUACUGGACUGUAACUGACGUUGAGGCACGAAAGUGUGGGGAGCAAACAGGAUUAGAUACCCGAGUA
Molecule: ribosomal RNA, 445 nt
Filed under: uncultured bacterium
Lineage: Bacteria
Description: bacterial SSU rRNA
Rfam family: Bacterial small subunit ribosomal RNA
Source: RNAcentral